This 1293-nucleotide long non-coding RNA is filed under the name Monodelphis domestica (gray short-tailed opossum). Its description in RNAcentral is "lncRNA (ENSMODG00000048247.1)". Lineage: Eukaryota; Metazoa; Chordata; Mammalia; Didelphimorphia; Didelphidae. The record is from RNAcentral.
UGUGUUUUUUUUCAAAGAUCAAUAUCUUUGGUUUUCCAUUUCCUUCUCCAGCUCAAUUUACAGAUGAAGAACAGAGGCAAACAGGAUCAAGUGACUUGCCCAGGUCAUACAGAACAAAGUACUGAGCCUCAGUGAAAUUAUGUGACUUGCCAUGGGACUUGUAAGUAAUGAUAUCAAAGGCAUCAUUUGAACCCACAUCUUCAGGAUUCGGGGAAAGAGAUUACAGAAUCACUGAAUUUCAGAAGAUGGGGAUGAACUGGUUCAAUACAUACCUGAAUGAGAAUCCCUACCAAAGUACUGCAGAAAAGUGGACCUCCAGUAUCUAUUCAAAACCCUCUGUCAAAAAGGAGCCUGUUACCUCCUCAGAUAGGCGGGCAGGCAGUUUGCCAGGCGUGUUUGUUAUCCAGAUUCAAAUUAAUAAAGAGAAAUGUUGCCUAAUAUGAGCACUGCAAUCAAUAUGGGAGUUGACUGGAGAAACAGAGUCCAGGAUCUCAUCAUGUCUAUCAACCUAGGAAUGCAUUUGGAAAGUAUCAUCCUAUUUGGAGAUGACUAGGCUCCACUUGGGUUCCUCCCUCCUCAACCAGAGUUACUUUCGACAUGGCAAAAGAGACACUAAGCGGCAGUCUGAGGAUUUGAUAGAGUCCUGUUACUAUUCUGGUGUUUCCUUACACUACUGCCUGAGACUUAAUGCUUCUGUUGAAUUAGGGUGCUGGAAAUAUGUGUACUCUAAAGUUCCUACAUCAUCAUCAAGCUAGGUGGCAAUGAUAUCAUAACCAAGUAAAACCAUUCCCAAUUGACUGAAAUUUUAGCCUGUCAUUCUGACAGAAUUGAUAGAAGGAGGGAAGAGAAGUAUCUUCUCCUCCUUCAUUUUCACAUGUCUCAUUAUUUCCAGGGUUCUUUUAGUGCAAAAUUUCUGUAUCCAGUCCUGGAACUGAGAUUUAGUGUUGGAAGAGACUUUAGAGACAGCACAUUACAACUCUCUCAUAUUAGAGAGGAUGAAACUUAGCCAGAGAAGUCGAGUGACUUGCCUAACAUCACACUGGUAUGAGUUGCAAAGCCAGCAUUUGAACUCAGGUCCUCUGUAUACAAAUCCCCUUGGUCUCUCUUUAUUUCCUGGAGUAUUUUUAUUUAAGUGAAGUCAAGUUAGUCAACAACUCUGUGCAAAACUCUGGGUAUGCAAAGAAAGUAAAAAAACAGCUUUUCCAUAAAGGAACUUACAAUCAAAUGGGGGAAGCAAUAUGCAAGCAGCCAUGUACAAAUAAAACACAUAGAGGAGAAAUGAGAGAUAAUCUC